Molecule: ribosomal RNA, 279 nt
Filed under: uncultured bacterium
Lineage: Bacteria
Description: partial 16S ribosomal RNA
Rfam family: Bacterial small subunit ribosomal RNA
Source: RNAcentral
UGCCAGCAGCCGCGGUAAUACGGAGGGUCCAAGCGUUAUCCGGAUUUAUUGGGCUUAAAGGGUGCGCAGGCGGAAAAUUAAGUCAGUGGUGAAAUCCUGCAGCUUAACUGUAGAACUGCCAUUGAUACUGAUUUUCUUGAAUUCAUAUGAGGUAGGCGGAAUGUGUAAUGUAGCGGUGAAAUGCUUAGAUAUUACACAGAACACCGAUUGCGAAGGCAGCUUACUAAAUUGACAUUGACGCUGAGGCACGAAAGCGUGGGGAGCGAACAGGAUUAGAUA